RNAcentral lists this ribosomal RNA (253 nucleotides) under uncultured bacterium. RNAcentral describes it as "partial 16S ribosomal RNA". It matches the Rfam family "Bacterial small subunit ribosomal RNA", at positions 524 to 776 of the family's 1533-position model. The record is from RNAcentral.
UACGUAGGGGGCAAGCGUUGUCCGGAAUCAUUGGGCGUAAAGAGCGCGUAGGCGGCCCGGUAAGUCCGCUGUAAAAGUCCAGGGCUCAACCCUGGAAAGCCGGUGGAUACUGUCGGGCUAGAGUCCGGAAGAGGCGAGUGGAAUUCCUGGUGUAGCGGUGAAAUGCGCAGAUAUCAGGAAGAACACCCGUGGCUAAGGCGGCUCUCUAGUACGGUACUGACGCUGAGACGCGAAAGCGUGGGGAGCGAACCGG